Molecule: long non-coding RNA, 5551 nt
Organism: Sarcophilus harrisii (Tasmanian devil)
Lineage: Eukaryota; Metazoa; Chordata; Mammalia; Dasyuromorphia; Dasyuridae
Source: Ensembl
CAGCUUCUAAGCACUGACAAUGCGCGCUUAUAGGCUACGCGCCGGCCCUAAGCCCGCAAGAUUCGGGGCGAGGAAGAAGAGAGGCCUGGAUUCUAACCGAGCCCCCGCAGUCCGCAAUUUAUAAUCACUCUGGACCCCAUCAUCCUGCGGAGAAAGGCCAGCAGGGGCCAUGGCUUGAUUCUUCGGUUGAGAAAGCAAUUUAGUUAGGGAGGAAAUAAAGAUAAUUAGCACCAGCCAGGAAACAGUAGGGUGGAGCCAACUGCCAGCCGCCGUGCAUGCGAGCCCCAGUGGCCUAAUGGAUAAGGCAUUGGCCUCCUAAGCCAGGGAUUGUGGGUUCAAGUCCCAUCUGGGGUGGCUCCUUUUGGACUAGAAUAAAAAAGGCUCAAGUUUAAACUGUGUUUACUUGCUGCAAUAAACAAUUAACUACCCCAAACUAAAGGUUUAAAAAAUAAGGAAUCCCUUAUUGCUGAUGAGGCGGUGGCCUAGAAGUCUCCUUACAUUCUGGGAUCAUAUACAAAAUAAUUAUAUAAUGUUAGCCUGGGAGCACACAGUAACAGCAAGAAUAUGCGAUGAUCAACUAGGAAAGACUCAGUUCUCCGCAGCUCAGUGACUCUAAGCACUUUCAAAUUGGACAGAAAAUGCCAUCUGCAGCCAGAAAAAGAACUAAGGAGAUUGAAUGAAAAUCAACACAUGCUAUGUUCACUUCUUUUUUUGUUUUUUUUCUUAUCUCUUCCAUGGUUUUUCCCUUUUUCUCUGAUUUUUCUCUCCCAACACUUUAUUGGAACCAAGUAUCUACUCUUCAAACCAUGAAAUGCUUUCUCUCUUCCUUCUAUAUAUCUUCAAUGAGCUGUCUGAAAUGGCGGACCACGAGCUUGGAGCCAUUGCGUCCCCGCGGCUUCCCAAGGAGUUGAACCGAGUGCAUGUCUCUCCAGCAACUCUGAAUGGGGAACGUAGCUCCGGAUCCCUGACGAGAAAAUUGUAGAGGUUUAAAAUCUAAUUAGAACUAUCCAAGAUGCUCGGUUCUUUAGAAGAGGUGAAAGGGGCUAACAAAGUCGGAUUAAAGAUAUAAGUGAAAAACACUGUCGGGUUACUGUUAUGCCACAGUUCUCUUUUAUCGUCUUGACUCAGUUUCCCUAAAAAUCCUGACUCAGUCCGGCUCGUUUUCUAACAUGUUGGUGGGAAGCCUCCAAAAUGUAAUGCCGGAGAAACUGAGCAAGAUAGAGAUUAGAGAGUAUUUAAUAAUUUAUUAAAUGGGGAGAUUUACUGGGAUCAAAUGGAUCCAUGGUUUGAAUGAGAUUAUCAUCUCCCAGAAUCCAGCAAACAACGUGAAUUCUCAAAGAUACGUGGCUCAGACGCAGGGGGUAGACUGAGGCAGGGGCAGAUGAGAGCGGGAACCGGAUUCUGAUGCGGUGGGUGAGCCGCCAAAGGGGAGGACGACAUAAUCAGGGGGAGGCACCAGAGAUGGGGAGAGGCAGCUUGAGAAGGGGAUCUGACAUUCCCAUAGCUUGAGAUGGGGGGAGGCAUUCUGAUAUUCUAAAACAUAAGAUAUUCUGUCUUUAUCAGGUAUUCUGAUAGAGAGAGGGGGGGUUUUGCAGCACUGAGAAGCAGGGAAACCGAGGCAGGACUGAGUCAGGAUAAUUAGGGAAACUGAAUCAGGACAAUAAAAGAGAACUGUGGCAUAACAUUUACAUUUAUCACAUUCACAUCAGAAGUUAGUUUUAUUUUUCCUUACUUUCUCUUUCUGCACUAGAAUUGGAAAUAAAACUUCAGAGGUUAAAUUGGAAAUCUCCAUUUCUGGAAGAAUUAACUACAUAAAAAAACAAACAAAACAAAACAAAGAAACCAAAAAACCUGUCUCUUGAGAUUGAAGAGCAGUUAUUUUGAAACUAUAACCUAAACUAUAAUCACUAGAUACACUUCUUUAAACCCAAUAUUUUAAUACUUGUCUUUAAUACUUAGAAGAAAUCUCCCUAGCACUUUUAAAAAGACCAUUUCCUGAUCAUCAGAAUGAUUUCAGAAAGGCCUGGAGAGACUUACAUGAACUGAUGCUGAAUGAAAUGAGCAAGAGUAGGAGAUCAUUAUAUACUUCAACAACAAUACUAUAUGAUGACCAGUUCUGAUGGACGUGGCCCUCUUCAACAAUGAGAUGAACCAAAUCAGUUCCAAUAGAGCAGUAAUGAACUGAACCAGCUACGCCCAGAGAAAGAACUCUGGGAGAUGACUAUUAACCACCACAUACAAUCCCUCUAUUUUUGUCUGCCUGAAUUUUUGAUUUCCUUUACAGGCUAAUAGCACACUAUUUCAAAGUCCUAUUCUUUUUGUACAUCAAAAUAACUGUAUGGACAUGUAUACAUAUAUUGUAUUUAAUUUAUACUUUAACAUAUUUAACAUGUAUUGGUCAUCCUACCAUCUGGGGGAGGGGAUGGGGAAGGAGGGGAAAAAUUGGAACAAAAGGUUUGGCGAUUGUCAAUGCUGUAAAAUUACCCAUGCAUAUAACUUGUAAAUAAAAAGCUAUAAUAAAAAACAAAAAUAAAAUAAAAAAGCCAUUUCCCAAAUAAGACAAUUAUAAGACAAUAUUUCCUGUGCUAAUAAGAUAGAUGGUUUCUCAUGUUUGUUACAUUUGUUAAUUAGGCUGAAGAUAUUUCCUAGUUACUGUAUAUAAGUAAGAUACAUUACUAUUCUUCUACUUGCUUGUUCUAAUCCUUCUAAUUCUUUGUGAGUAAGCUAUACGUUGUACACUAACAAAGUUUAGGCUUCAUUUAUUAUUCUAUAAAAUUUAAAUAAAAUGAGGAUGAAUCUCAUAAUGUUUUUUUUAAUUUGAAGACAAACAUUAAUCUUUUCUCUUAAAAAAAAUCAUAAUACUUGCCUCUCUCACUUCCACUAAUUUAAAAAAGAAAAAUAAACAAAAGCUUCUCUUGUAACAAAUUAAAGCAAACCUACAUAUUGGCCAUCACAAAAACAUCUGUCUCAUUCUUCAUCAAAGAGAUCUGAUUUCUGUCCAUCACCUCUCUGUCAGGAAAACAUGCUUCAUCUUACAUUUUAUCCAAUUCUGAUUAGACAUUGUGUUAAUCAGAACUCUUAAAUUUUCACAAUUCAUUUUCAAAAUUCUGUAAUCUUUGUAUAAAAUCAGGGCUUCUUAAACUUUUCCCACUUGUGGCUCCUUUUUCUGACAAAUUUUUAGCUGGCCUGGAUAUGUAGGUAUAUGAAAUAGGUAGGCAAAUCAUAUACUAUAAUAAUGAUAAUAAUAAAUCAAAAUUUCAAGACUCCCACAUUCAGUGACUGGACUCCAUAGAAGCUCCUUAACCACAGUUUAACAACUUUUGCUAUAAAGCACUGUCUUGGUUCUGCUCACUUCAGUCUGCAUUAGUUUAUAUACCUUCCCAAAUUUCUUUGAAUCUACCUCUUUUCUCAUUUCUUAUGGCACAAUAAUAUUCCAUAUUCGUAUGAUAAUUUGCUCUGCCAUCUCUCAAUUGUUAGGGAUUGCUUUAGUUUCCAGUUAUUUGCCACACAAAAAGUAUUGCUAUAGAUAUUUUUGUAGGUAUGGAUCCUUUCCUUUCUUUAACUUUUUUUUAGAUGUAUGUAUAAUAUGUAUAGUGACUGAGGGCAUAGUUCUAAAUCAUUUUCUAUAAUAGCUGAGCCAAUUCACUGCUCAGUGUGUGACUGUUCUUCCACCUCUUAGAACAAUUUUCAUUUUUCUUUUCAUAUCAUCUUGGCCAAUCUGAUGGGUAUGAGAUUGCGAGUUGUUUUAAUUUGCUUUCUCUUACUAUCAUUACUGAUUUGGAGUAUUUCCUAUAUGAUUGUUGAUAGUCUGAAACUCUUUUGAGAACUAGUGACUUCCAAUUUACUAGAUCUAUAUAAUUAUGUGUGUAUAUAUUUUUACAUAUACACAUACAUGUGUCAUGUAUGUAUAUAUGUACUAUAUAUACAUCAUGUAUCUCAUAUGUACAUACAGUAGUUGCUGGCAUUCUACCUUCUCUAGGGUAGAGACUGUUUUUGCCUUUCUUCCUAUCCCCAAGGUUUAGCUCAAUAGGUAUAAGUUUUAACACUAAUGCUGUUGCUGCUGCUGUUGCUGUUGUAUAUAGGUUAUCUAUGCACAAUUCUUCAACUAAAUAUCAUCUAAGAAAGAGAAUAUCCAUUCAAAUAUGUGAUAGCUCAUGCCCUAUAAUAUUUAACCUAAAUAGUAAGUAUCAUUCUAACACCAAUGGAUUAGUUUAUUUGUUAUAAUGCUGUGAGAUCAUUUUUAAAACAACAAUUAUUUUCCAUUAUCAGAUAAGCUAGAUAUUUUAUUGUAAGCUUUUAUUUUUCUGGAUUCCUAAUAUAAAUGCCUUUGGGAUUUGAACCACUUGUUAUUCACUUGUUAUUUUAUCAGAAAUCUAAAUAAGAUUUAGGGUAGCUAGCUGGGACAGUAGACAGAAUACUGGCCUUCCACUCAGGAAGACCUAAAUUCAAAUUUGACUUCAGACACUUAUUAGUGUAAUCCUAGGCAAGUCACUUAAGCCUCUUUGCCUCAGUUUCUUUAUCUGUAAAAUAAGCUGAAGAAACAAAUGGCAAACUAUCUUUGUCAAGAGAAUCCCAAAUGGGGUUAUGAAGAGUUAGACACAAAUGAACACCAACAAAAUAAGAUUUAACUAACAAGACAGAGGAUAAAUUAAGAAGAUAUCUUCUAUAUCCUAUAUAAUCCUAGACAGUUUGUAAUAUUCCCCCAAAUAUAUCAUCAUAGUUUUUUCUCACCUAAAUGUUCUCCAUUAUGUUUCUGUCCUCAGGGUCAUGGAUUUCCAUUCAGGAAUAUGUCUAUUAAAAUGUCCUGUUAUUCCUCCCACCCAUCUUCUUCUUUUCACCCAUCACUUCUAUUAAAUCUAAAAGUAAUAGUACAAGCCCUCUCCUUCCGGUAAUACUAAAUGUCUCCUUGAGAUUUUCCAAAAUUUUGAGGAAAUCUCCAAAGUUCAUGAGCUAUUUUCUAGGGGACACAAUGGGAAUUUAAAAGAAUCACUGAAAAGUAGUACACAUUUUUUUUUUUUUUUUUAAUCUCUAUCUUCAAUUAGACUAAGUAGGGAAUUACAGAACAAAAUUGGGAGGGAAGUGAGAUGAGAUAGGGAGGGAUAGUCCAUGAACUGAGCUAUGGAAGAUAUAAAUGAAAUUUAUUCUUCUUGACCCUACAAGAAAUAAAGACUGGGAGUAUUUGUUGGGAGUGAAGCAAGUGAGAUGAUGAGUCUUCUUGACAUCCACUGAAGAGGUUCUUUUAUGUACCAGUUCUUGUUGACCCAACUCCACUUCCCCAAAAGAAAGCAAUAACACCUUCCCUUGAAAAAGAUGGACAAUAGUUGAUAGCACCUGCAGCUUGGUGAAAAGCAUCAAACAUCUGCUUUGGAGGCAAAGAAGAAUAGCAGACAUAGAAACUGAGGUGUAGACAAAACAAAAGAGCAACUAUGGAAAUUAAGGGAGGGUGCCAGCAUUAAGAUAUCUCUGGAAUCAAACCAAGGAAGCUGCAAGAGGUGGGGGACAAGAAACUCAAACACAUACAGAUGAUAGCAGGAAGAUGGAGCUGGGAGAG